RNA transcript from Vigna angularis (adzuki bean), 1996 nucleotides. It is a transcript of the gene named O-methyltransferase 1, chloroplastic, with no coding region annotated. The record is from RefSeq and is a predicted model, not a curated record. Lineage: Eukaryota; Viridiplantae; Streptophyta; Magnoliopsida; Fabales; Fabaceae. The transcript is spliced from 8 exons.
UUCUUCGUCUCCUACGGCCACCCGCACCUCCUCCAAACGCCUCCACAAUCGGAUCUGAACCACCAGAAUCGAUUUUCAUGGAGGAGAAUCGGUUCUCACCUCCCAUUCUCGCACAGCCACAAUGUAGCACUUGUCUAUUCCCACGCAUGGAACAAAAAAGAGCAAGGGGGAUUUUGUAAUUUCACUCUUCAUUCCCUCAAAUCAGACUCUCAAAUCACUUAUCCUUUUGAAAUGCUUGAUGGGUUUUGCACAAGCUUUCCCUGUAACCUCUAUUAAUAACCUUCCCUCACUCGUUUGCACCUUUAAGAGGAAACUUUGUGUUUCUACUGCAAAACUCAGCCGAGACAAUGACCCAUUACUUCUUUCUGCCACUGCUUUUGCUUCUCUUCGCUACCGUGAAUCUCUUCGACCAGAGCCUCUGUUUCUAGACCCAUAUGCUGGUUGUUUUGUCCGUGAUAAUACUCCCGAGGAUGUGAUUCAGGACUUGCAUCCCUAUUGUCUUGCAGCCAAGUUCAUUGAUGAUAAGCUGCUUCAUACAGUUAGUCUUAUUGAUGGACUAAAGCAGCUAGUUUUUUUGACUGAUGGCAUGGAUACACGCCCAUACAGACUUCAGUGGCCUACUUCGACCAUAAUAUUUGACAUUUCCCCUGAAAUUGUGUUUAAGUUUGCAGCUGAGAAGCUUAAAGUUUCAGAUGUUGGGGCUAAGAUACCCAAAGGUUGCAUAUUCUGUCAUAUUCCACUGGAAUCAUCUGACCUGGAGCAGGCUAUGCAAUUUAAAGGCUACAAUGGUAAUAGACCAAGCAUAUGGGUCCUGCAGGGAUUUCCAAUGAUGACGCUGGCAAAUUUUGAAGAGGUUUUGUCAAUGAUUAGCAGUUUGGCCAUGAAGGGAUCCCUUUUUUUAGGAGAGCUUCCUGCCUGCUUAACUGAGACAGACCCAGAAAUCAAGUCCAAUAUAAGGCAAUGGGUGGAUAAACUAUUCAUGAGCAAGGGAUUUCGGGUGGAAAUGAUCAAGUACGAAGGGAUUGCCGGGAGUUAUGGUAAAGAUUUUGCAUCAGGACACAAUAAUAGUAUACUGUUUGUCGCAGAACAGCUGUUACAUUCUGAUGAUCAGAUGGAAUCAUGGAGACGAGAAUUUCAAAGGAUAGAGAAUGAAGGUGAUGAAGAUGGUUUUGAAGAGUUAUAGAUAAGCAUAUAAGCUUCAUCUCACCCUCAUUAGCCUCAAAAGGAUACUUCUAUUGCUACAAGGGUCUUUCGUGGCAUUAUCCUCUAUACAAUUGAUGGUACCCCAUUCCACCUUUUGAUUUCUCUGUUAAAGGAGUUUCUUCAAUAUCAGUGGAUGUACAUAAAUAUGGUUUAUCUCCCAAAGGAACAAGUAUAGUUCUUUAUAGAAACCAUGAAAUCAGAACGGUAAGGCAAUGAUUUACUGAAAUUAUUUUUAGUCUUUUUAGUUUAUAUCUGAAUUAUAAACUGGUUAUUCAAUAUUUUUAAUGUUUACUUGUGCAACUUUUUGGAAACAUCUCACAGAAUAUGACAUCUCCUAAUGUUCGGAAAGAGUACUUUAUUUCAAAUUCUUGUUUUCUCUUUCCUUGAGUUGGUAUCCAUCAAUACUAUGAAAAUAGAAAUUAGCGUAUCAUAUUUGAUUAUCGGUGUUUCUACCUCAAACUCAAGUUUUUUUCUAGUGAAAGGGUCAUUUUACAGACGAUAUGUUGCACCAUAGAAUCUGACUUACAUUUCUCUUGGCUUUUGAUCGUAGCAUGGUGGACAUCAUAAGCGAAAUGUAUCUCUUUCUCUUCCUUAGGAAAUCAUGAAGAGUUGGUAGAUGAAACAUUUUUGCAUUUCUUCUUACUUAAGGAUAUUGGAGAAAAAAACUUUAUUUUUCUGAAUACAAUUAUAGAGACAGGAGUUAGAAGACGAAUUGUAUAACAGGGUAAGCCCUUGGGCUCAUGAACAUUAAAGCAGUUAUCAAUUAACUGAAAUUCAAGUACAUCAUUUUUCA